Molecule: long non-coding RNA, 409 nt
Organism: Chinchilla lanigera (long-tailed chinchilla)
Lineage: Eukaryota; Metazoa; Chordata; Mammalia; Rodentia; Chinchillidae
Exons: 2
Source: RefSeq, a predicted model, not a curated record
ACACUCUGGAGAGGCCAGAAGGACCAGCGGCGUUCUGCCUGGGCUAGGCCACCGAGGCCACCGACAUGGCCAGACAGCUGCCUACGUGACUCCGGGAGGGAGGAGGCCAAAUGAGCCUCACUCCUAUUCCAGGGCUCUGCUCUUUCCUCCUCUAACAAGGCCUGGAGGAAACAAGGUUCUUCAGGGAAGAAAGGAGGCUGUGGUGAUCCUGGAGCCAACAAGCCUGAGGACGUACAGACCGCAGGAGGGUCCCACCACCACGCAACAGCAGUCAAGAGGCCUGAGGAUGCCCAGGCCAACUCUCUCAAUAGGUACGGGAGGAAAAUGAGGACUGAGCAAAGCACCCUGGCCAAAACUUCAUGGCUGCCGAGUGGUAGAGCUGAAAUAAAAUUUCCUAGUUUGGCUCCUU